AGGUGAGAGGAUCACUUGAGCCCAGGAUGUUGAGGCUGCAGUGAGCUGUGAUCAUACCACUGCACUCCAGCCUGGGUGACAGAGCAACACCCUGUCUCA
RNAcentral lists this microRNA precursor (99 nucleotides) under Rhinopithecus roxellana (golden snub-nosed monkey). RNAcentral describes it as "miRNA (ENSRROG00000021308.1)". Lineage: Eukaryota; Metazoa; Chordata; Mammalia; Primates; Cercopithecidae. The record is from RNAcentral.